This is a long non-coding RNA of Carassius auratus (goldfish), 756 nucleotides long. RefSeq lists it as uncharacterized. The record is from RefSeq and is a predicted model, not a curated record. The transcript has 3 exons. Lineage: Eukaryota; Metazoa; Chordata; Actinopteri; Cypriniformes; Cyprinidae.
CGUGACAUGCUUUCACAAGUAUUAGCCUACGGUAAGUGACGUCGAGACACACCUUCACUUCACUCACGCGCUUGGCGCUGCUGGUUGCUAUGGAAGGUCGUCAAGUGCAAGGCGACUCAAGCAACAGCACUUGAAGGGACAACAAUUAGGAAACAAUAAAGUUUUUCGUAUCUCAGUCAUGUGUUUAUUUUUAAUCUAUUCAUUCUACGAUGUAAUGACUAAUUGCUGACAAACUCCCCACAGGCUACUGUUUAACUGAUGACCGAACAUGGAAUCCUCAGCAUCUUCUUCUGUUACAAUGUGUUGCGACGUUUGUUGUGACUGUGGCACAACAAAAGCUGCAGUGUCACUGAAUAGAGCAUUUUGCGUGGAGAAAAUGUUUUAAAUUGUCCUUAGUUCUUUUUAAUAAGCCAAUAACUAACUUAGGUUGCGUAUAUUGUCCUUUUCCCGCCCCCUCUUCUCUGCGGGAAUGUUUUUUACAGCAGGAAGAGAUUAAGUCUGUCUGCAUGGGUGCAGCAGGAGGCUGCUCCAACCAGUUCUGCUGAAGCCAAAAAAUGAGCCCAGAGGUCAAGAGAAGAAAUGCUGUGUUUUUUGUUGAGUCAGUAUUUGAUGAUCCAGAGGUUAUUGCAGCUAACAUCCUGGAAGUAAAGGUUUCAAGUCCAGAUUAUCCAGAAACACAGAGAGAGAGAGAGUCAUGGAGGAUUUCCUGAAACGCAUAGAAUGUUAUAAAGUCACUUACCAACCACUAGAUCCUGA